GGAGAGCUGUCCGAGUGGCUUAAGGAGCAUGAUUGGAAAUCAUGUGUGCGGUGAACUCCGUACCCAGGGUUCAAAUCCCUGGCUCUCCGCCA
Molecule: transfer RNA, 92 nt
Filed under: Veillonella montpellierensis DNF00314
Lineage: Bacteria; Bacillati; Bacillota; Negativicutes; Veillonellales; Veillonellaceae
Also listed under: 3 other names
Description: tRNA-Ser
Rfam family: tRNA
About the family: Transfer RNA (tRNA) molecules are approximately 80 nucleotides in length. Their secondary structure includes four short double-helical elements and three loops (D, anti-codon, and T loops).
Source: RNAcentral